Molecule: long non-coding RNA, 1001 nt
Filed under: Erythranthe guttata (spotted monkey flower)
Lineage: Eukaryota; Viridiplantae; Streptophyta; Magnoliopsida; Lamiales; Phrymaceae
Description: long non-coding RNA (EGUT_LNC000983)
Source: RNAcentral
CCCGUUAGACUUUAGGCAAGUUUUAAUUGUUAUUACAGAAACAAAGCCUUACACUUACGGCACACCUUUCCUGUUGUUAAAUUGUCAGGAAUAACGUGAUUUCAUGUUGUUAAAUUGCAUGUGUGCUAAUUCUUAAGAAUGGAUCCGUAGUUUGUCCUUCUUGAUUUCAGUUCACAUCAAUUAAUUAUUCAAAUAUGCACACUUUUGGGCAUUACUUUUUUUUUUUUUUUUUUUUUUUUUUUUUUUUUUUCUGGACAUUGCUGUUUGUUUUUAGUGAAAGAGUUUAUGACUAAGUACAUUUUACUAGCAAGAAUAAUGGAGACAAGUAUCAUGUUUCCACAAAUUUGUAUUGCAUAAAAAGUUAUGCAGAGAUCCAAGAUAGGGUUGGUGUCACGAAAGUUAUACCGAAGAUCCAUUGUUAGUUCGAGCAACGACCAACUGAUCCAAAAGGGUAUUCCCUACACUGCUCUGGACAGUAAGUUUCUCAAUCCCUAAUUGAAUGUUGAGUGAAAAAAAUUUGUUCCAUGAUUACGGUGCAAUACUUUCAGUAAUCUACUUUAAAAUAGACUUCAAUGUUAAUGUGAUUCUUCUGUAUUUUUCUUUCUCUCAAUCUCAGGGAACUUUUUUUUUUUUUUUUUUUGUAGACAGAGAAUGCAAGUUAGUGAUGGUGGCCUAUCCAACUCUACUCUCUCCCAAGCAUAUCAUCAAACAUAUUCAGCAUCAUCUUCGCCCUCCAAUUUCUCUUGAAGAACACCAAUGUUUGUCUUAAUUGCCCCUGUACCAACUUUUUUGUUUGUUGUUGAAAACAAAAUGCAAAAAUAUUCAAGUCGCCUUCGUAAAAAAAUGCAGUCGUCAGGGGAUGCUUGAUAAUAUAUGUAGCGUCUUCUUUGUGUGUUUUGAGCGGUUGUCACUGUAACAGCUGCUUUGGUAAAUGUUUAAGGGCAUUGUAUCAUGAUUAUUUUUUUACACUGCAUUUUUACUUGGAAACUGAUUUCUAAUUU